RNAcentral lists this ribosomal RNA (472 nucleotides) under uncultured bacterium. Its description in RNAcentral is "bacterial SSU rRNA". It matches the Rfam family "Bacterial small subunit ribosomal RNA", at positions 328 to 793 of the family's 1533-position model. The record is from RNAcentral.
CUCUGUGACUCCUACGGGAGGCAGCAGUGGGAAUAUUGCACAAUGGGGGAAACCCUGAUGCAGCCAUGCCGCGUGUGUGAAGAAGGCCUUCGGGUUGUAAAGCACUUUCAGUAGGGAGGAAGGUAGUGUAGUUAACACCUGCAUUAUUUGACGUUACCUACAGAAGAAGCACCGGCUAACUCCGUGCCAGCAGCCGCGGUAAUACGGAGGGUGCGAGCGUUAAUCGGAAUUACUGGGCGUAAAGCGCAUGCAGGCGGCCUGUUAAGUCAGAUGUGAAAGCCCGGGGCUUAACCUCGGAAUUGCAUUUGAAACUGGCAGGCUAGAGUCUUGUAGAGGGGGUAGAAUUUCAGGUGUAGCGGUGAAAUGCGUAGAGAUCUGAAGGAAUACCAGUGGCGAAGGCGGCCCCCUCGGACAAAGACUGACGCUCAGAUGCGAAAGCGUGGGGAGCAAACAGGAUUAGAUACCCUGGUAG